Long non-coding RNA from Gymnodraco acuticeps, 1599 nucleotides. RefSeq lists it as uncharacterized. Lineage: Eukaryota; Metazoa; Chordata; Actinopteri; Perciformes; Bathydraconidae. The transcript has 3 exons. The record is from RefSeq and is a predicted model, not a curated record.
UGCGCAUUAAUGUAUGUGACGUCGUGAACAGGCUGGGAGGCGGUGGGCUAGUGAACAUAUGCUAGCUAACAGCUGUGUGUCGUGGGCUCUAACACGCUCUGCCGCCGAUAAAACCAGCAUACGAUAUGUCAAAACAGAAAGCCAUGUUUAUACAAACACGGCAGGACUCCCGACAGAUCCAGCUUUUGAAGAGAAUCAAAAUGCCAGUGCAGAUCUAGCAGAAACCCCCACACAGGAUGCAACGAUGAGGCCGAUCUUCUUCAAUGCGGCUCAAUCCAGCAGUGAUGUGCGUAAACUAAUUGACCAGAGACUCAGAGGCGUCACAGGAAGCUGGUGCUCUGCUUCGACUCUCGAUGAGGAAGUGGGGGCUGCUAAACAACCCUGUGGUCUGACCAAACCUGCGAGAUAGCAAAAGAGAGAAACAAGAGGAAAUGUGUGAGCUGCUUGAUACAAAAACAUGUCAAAAUUAUCACACAGGAAGCACAGCUCAGUUUAGGAGGCACCACUUCCUGAGUUCCUGUACCAAACCGCUGCCAACAUCAUCUGCCAGCAAUGGCCUUCUACAUUUUUCAGCUUCCUCUGAUGUGUUUUGUGCUCAAUGAUUUAGGACACAAGUUAAACAGAGGAUAGUUUCUCUGAGCAUUGUUUUCAAAUUAGUGAGGAUAAAUAAACCUUUGUUUGAAUGUAAUGUAUUCAAUAUGCAAAGCUUUAUUAGUGCAGAGACAAGAGCUGGAACUGACAAAUGUAAACCGCAACAGUUUUCGUGAUGAUUAAAUCUUUAAAGGGGGAACUUAUUAUGAACAAACUCCUUUUCACUGCUUGUGCACAUCAACUCUCUGGAGUGCCCACCCAUGACAAACUCUGAAAAAAAACAACACUCUUUUAUGGACUGCCACUGUCAGAAAAAUUAAACGAGCCAUUCAGACUUGGCUUUACUUCGUAUGUCACAUGAAGGCUAAUUAGAAUCUUCAUUUCCAUUAAUGACUUGAGAAUUAUUUUACUGUGCUUUUCGAACAAGUUCUUAAAUGGACAGGCGUUUGAACGAAGCGUUUCAGAAAAGGGGGGAUUACGGGUAUAUUCAGACGGACAGUAUGAGAAAAACAAAGCAUGUAAACAUGAUCUAGUUGAAACCUAAAAAUACAAAUAAUAGCCUAAAAAUGUGCACAAUAUGUCUCGUCUUUCUAAUUUAAAGAUAAGACAUAUCAGGAGUUCUCUACUACUUACUGUAAUGUUUUGUAUGCUGUAUACAAAGAUGUACUGGUGGAACGAUUACAGCUGAAGCUGAACAAAAUGUGAAUACAAUAGUCUACUAACAUAGUAGUUCAUCUUAAUUUGUUGGGUUUUGGGCUUUGGGAAAAAGUCAAAGGCUUUUGUCAAUAUCUAUUCUAGAUUUGUUUUUGAAGUUGCAGCCCAAAGGGAGAUUAUUUAAUAUGAAUCAUGUUUUUAAUGUUUAACAGAAACUGAGAUUUUUCCCUGUGUGUUCUGUAUGUCAAGUUUGGUUAAACAACAUUAAUUAACAGCUAUACUCUCCACUUCAUAACCUGUAAAUCCGGUUCUAUGUGUUUUUACUAUCAAUAAACAUACACGAAGCUGCUUGCA